This 359-nucleotide ribosomal RNA is filed under the name uncultured Glomeromycotina. Its description in RNAcentral is "eukaryotic LSU rRNA". Lineage: Eukaryota; Fungi; Glomeromycota. The record is from RNAcentral.
CUAUGGUAAUCAGCCUUUUGGGUGUGAUUUUGUGGAGCGUGAAGAGUUAAACGCCUUCAUGUCUCAUAUUCGUGCACUUUGGGUGUACUUGCCGUGUGUAAGUUAACAUCAAUUUUGGUGGUCUAAAAUGGCUGGAGGAAUGUAGCUUCGAUCUUGUAUUGAAGUGUUAUAGCCUUCGGUAGUGUGACGAUCGGGAUUGAGGAUUGCAACGGAUACCCUUCGGGGCUACCUGUCUGAUCUCGAAAGUCGCUCGGGGGGUCGAAAGCGUUGCGUGCUUACGGCUCACCACCCGAGUUGGCGUCAAUAGGUUAGAACGUGAUUAUAUUCGUUAAGGAUGUUGGCGUAAUGGCUUUAAACGA